GUGCACGCUGGCGGUAGGCCUAACCCCUGCCAGUCGAACGGCAGCACAGUAAGAGCUUGCUCUUACGGGUGGCGAGUGGCGGACGGGUGAGGAAUACAUCGGAAUCUACUUUUUCGUGGGGGAUAACGUAGGGAAACUUACGCUAAUACCGCAUACGACCUACGGGUGAAAGCCGGGGAUCUUCGGACCUUGCGCGAUUGAAUGAGCCGAUGUCGGAUUAGCUAGUUGGCGGGGUAAAGGCCCACCAAGGCGACGAUCCGUAGCUGGUCUGAGAGGAUGAUCAGCCACACUGGAACUGAGACACGGUCCAGACUCCUACGGGAGGCAGCAGUGGGGAAUAUUGGACAAUGGGCGCAAGCCUGAUCCAGCCAUACCGCGUGGGUGAAGAAGGCCUUCGGGUUGUAAAGCCCUUUUGUUGGGAAAGAAAAGCAGCAGGUUAAUACCCCGCUGUUCUGACGGUACCCAAAGAAUAAGCACCGGCUAACUUCGUG
RNAcentral lists this ribosomal RNA (491 nucleotides) under uncultured bacterium. RNAcentral's name for it is "partial 16S ribosomal RNA". It matches the Rfam family "Bacterial small subunit ribosomal RNA", at positions 29 to 507 of the family's 1533-position model. The record is from RNAcentral.